RNAcentral lists this ribosomal RNA (494 nucleotides) under uncultured bacterium. Its description in RNAcentral is "partial 16S ribosomal RNA". It matches the Rfam family "Bacterial small subunit ribosomal RNA", at positions 28 to 507 of the family's 1533-position model. The record is from RNAcentral.
GACGAACGCUGGCGGCGUGCUUAACACAUGCAAGUCGAACGGUGAAGCGCCUUCCUUUUUGGUGGGUGUGGAUGAGUGGCGAACGGGUGCGUAACACGUGAGUAACCUGCCCCCUUCUUCUGGAUAACCGCAUGAACGUGUGGCUAAUACGGGAUAUUCUGGGUCUGUCGCAUGAUGGGUCUGGGAAAGAUAUUGUUUCGGUGGGGGAUGGGCUCGCGGCCGAUCAGCUUGUUGGUGGGGUGAUGGCCUACCAAGGCGGUGACGGGUAGCCGGCCUGAGAGGGUGGACGGUCACGCUGGGACUGAGACACGGCCCAGACGCCUACGAGAGGCAGCAGUGAGGAAUAUUGCACGAUGGGCGCAAGCCUGAUGCAGCGACGCCGCGUGAGGGAUGGAGGCCUUCGGGGUGUGAACCUCUUUCGCCAGUGAAGCAGGCCUGCCUCGUUUGUGGGUGUGUUGACGGUAGCUGGAGAAGAAGCGCCGGCUAACUACGUG